Molecule: ribosomal RNA, 1540 nt
Filed under: Micrococcus sp. CH7
Lineage: Bacteria; Bacillati; Actinomycetota; Actinomycetes; Micrococcales; Micrococcaceae
Description: bacterial LSU rRNA
Rfam family: Bacterial large subunit ribosomal RNA
Source: RNAcentral
GUGAAAGUUUCCAAGGGCGCAUGGUGGAUGCCUUGGCAACAGGAGCCGAAGAAGGACGUGGGAAUCUGCGAUAAGCCUGGUGGAGUCGAUAACCGGACGUUGAGACCAGGAUUUCCGAAUGGGGAAACCCCGCACGACGUGUCGUGUGACCCCCGGUUGAACACAUAGACCGGGUGGAGGGAACGUGGGGAAGUGAAACAUCUCAGUACCCACAGGAAGAGAAAACAAAAGUGAUUCCGUUAGUAGUGGCGAGCGAACGCGGAUGGGGCUAAACCGUAUGUGUGUGAUACCCGGCAGGGGUUGCAUGUGCGGUGUUGUGGGCCCCUCCUUGUCCUGUCUGCCGGCAUGGCGCAGUGAGGUGCGGGCAUAUAGACGAACCAGUGUGGAUGCUGGACCGUAGAGGGUGAGAGUCCCGUAGUCGAAAUGUGUUCCGCCGCUGUUGGGGGGUUGCCCGAGUAGCACGGGGCCCGAGGAAUCCCGUGUGAAUCUGCCAGGACCACCUGGUAAGCCUGAAUACUACCUGUUGACCGAUAGCGGAUCAGUACCGUGAGGGAAUGGUGAAAAGUACCCCGGGAGGGGAGUGAAAUAGUACCUGAAACCAUGUGCCUACAAACCGUUGGAGCCUCCUUGUGGGGUGACAGCGUGCCUUUUGAAGAAUGAGCCUGCGAGUUAGUGAUACGUGGCGAGGUUAACCCGUGUGGGGAAGCCGUAGCGAAAGCGAGUCUGAAUAGGGCGAUUGAGUCGCGUGUCCUAGACCCGAAGCGGAGUGAUCUACCCAUGGCCAGGUUGAAGCGCGUGUAAGAGCGCGUGGAGGACCGAACCCACUUCAGUUGAAAAUGGAGGGGAUGAGCUGUGGGUAGGGGUGAAAGGCCAAUCAAACUCCGUGAUAGCUGGUUCUCCCCGAAAUGCAUUUAGGUGCAGCGUCACGUGUUUCUUCCCGGAGGUAGAGCUACUGGAUGGACGAUGGGCCCUACAAGGUUACUGACUUCAGCCAAACUCCGAAUGCCGGGAAGUGAGAGCGUGGCAGUGAGACUGUGGGGGAUAAGCUUCAUAGUCGAGAGGGAAACAGCCCAGACCACCGGUUAAGGCCCCUAAGCGUGUGCUAAGUGGGAAAGGAUGUGGAGUUGCUGAGACAACCAGGAGGUUGGCUUAGAAGCAGCCACCCUUGAAAGAGUGCGUAAUAGCUCACUGGUCAAGUGAUUCCGCGCCGACAAUGUAGCGGGGCUCAAGUACACCGCCGAAACCGUGGCAUUCAGUUUUGCUGGAUGGGUAGGGGAGCGUCGUUCACGAGGUGAAGCCAGCGGGUAACUUCUGGUGGAUUGUGGACGAGUGAGAAUGCAGGCAUGAGUAGCGAAAGACGGGUGAGAAACCCGUCCGCCGGAUGACUAAGGGUUCCAGGGUCAAGCUAAUCUGCCCUGGGUAAGUCGGGACCUAAGGCGAGGCCGACAGGCGUAGUCGAUGGACAACGGGUUGAUAUUCCCGUACCAGUGAAGAACCGCCCAUGCUGAGCCGGUGAUACUAACCGCCCGAACCAUCCCGA